This 331-nucleotide unclassified non-coding RNA is filed under the name soil metagenome. RNAcentral describes it as "partial contains 5.8S ribosomal RNA, internal transcribed spacer 2, and large subunit ribosomal RNA". The stretch from base 1 to 120 matches the Rfam family "5.8S ribosomal RNA", at positions 35 to 154 of the family's 154-position model. The record is from RNAcentral.
GAUGAAGAACGCAGCGAAAUGCGAUAAGUAAUGUGAAUUGCAGAAUUCAGUGAAUCAUCGAAUCUUUGAACGCACAUUGCGCCGCCUGGUAGUCCGGGGGGCAUGCCUGUUCGAGCGUCAUUUCACCACUCAAGCCUCGCUUGGUAUUGGGCAACGCGGUCCGCCGCGUGCCUCAAAUCGACCGGCUGGGUCUUCUGUCCCCUAAGCGUUGUGGAAACUAUUCGCUAAAGGGUGUUCGGGAGGCUACGCCGUAAAACAACCCCAUUUCUAAGGUUGACCUCGGAUCAGGUAGGGAUACCCGCUGAACUUAAGCAUAUCAAUAAGCGGAGGA